AGCAAGCACCGGCUAACUCCGUGCCAGCAGCCGCGGUAAUACGGGGGGUGCAAGCGUUACUCGGAAUCACUGGGCGUAAAGAGCAUGUAGGCUGAUUAGUAAGUUGGAAGUGAAAUCCUAUGGCUCAACCAUAGAACUGCUUCCAAAACUGCUUAUCUAGAGUAUGGGAGAGGUAGAUGGAAUUUCUGGUGUAGGGGUAAAAUCCGUAGAGAUCAGAAGGAAUACCGAUUGCGAAGGCGAUCUACUGGAACAUUACUGACGCUGAGAUGCGAAAGCGUGGGGAGCAAACAGGAUUAGAUACCCUGGUAGUCCACGCCCUAAACGAUGCACACUAGUUGUUGCUAUGCUAGACAUAGCAGUAAUGCAGUUAACACAGUAAGUGUGCCGCCUGGGGAGUACGGUCGCAAGAUUAAAACUCAAAGGAAUAGACGGGGACCCGCACAAGCGGUGGAGCAUGUGGUUUAAUUCGACGAUACGCGAAGAACCUUACCUGGCCUUGACAUAGUAAGAAUCUAAUAGAGAUAUAAGAGUGCUAGUUUACUAGAGCUUACAUACAGGUGCUGCACGGCUGUCGUCAGCUCGUGUCGUGAGAUGUUGGGUUAAGUCCCGCAACGAGCGCAACCCUCGUGUUUAGUUACUAACAGUUCGGCUGAGGACUCUAGACAGACUGCCCGGGUAACCAGGAGGAAGGUGAGGACGACGUCAAGUCAUCAUGGCCCUUACGGCCAGGGCUACACACGUGCUACAAUGGGGUAUACAAAGAGCCGCGAUACCGUGAGGUGGAGCAAAUCUCAUAAAAUAUCUCCCAGUUCGGAUUGAAGUCUGCAACUCGACUUCAUGAAGUUGGAAUCGCUAGUAAUC
This 861-nucleotide ribosomal RNA is filed under the name uncultured bacterium. RNAcentral describes it as "bacterial SSU rRNA". It matches the Rfam family "Bacterial small subunit ribosomal RNA", at positions 485 to 1343 of the family's 1533-position model. The record is from RNAcentral.